This is a non-coding RNA of Mesoplodon densirostris (Blainville's beaked whale), 672 nucleotides long. Lineage: Eukaryota; Metazoa; Chordata; Mammalia; Artiodactyla; Ziphiidae. The record is from the annotation of a RefSeq genome assembly.
AUGGCCUGGGCUCUGCUCCUUGUCACCCUCCUCACUCAGGGCACAGGGUCCUGGGCCCAGUCUGGCCUGACUCAGCCUCCCUCAGUGUCCGGGAAUCCGGGACAGACAGUCACCAUCUCCUGUGCUGGAACCAGCAAUGACAUAGGGAAAUAUAAUGUUGUCAGCUGGUACCAACAGCGCCCGGGCACGGCCCCCAAAACUCUGAUUUAUGAGGUCAAUAAACGGCCCUCAGGGAUCCCUGACCGUUCCUCUGGCUCCAAGUCUGGCAACACGGCCUCCCUGACCAUCUCUGGGCUCCAGGCUGAGGACGAGGCUGAUUAUUACUGUAGCUCAGAUACAACAAAGUUGAGUCCCAGCCUUGUAGUGAAGAAGGUGGUUGGGAAAGAACUGGAUGCUGCAGACGCCUCCCCACCCCCAGCGGUAGAGGUCUUUCCACCUCUGUCUGGGGCGAUUGACCUUGUAUUGCCCAAGGAAAAGGUCACGGCCACCUUGAGGAAGCUGCCACGGUCCUGGGCCCAGUCUGGCCUGACUCAGCCUCCCUCAUUGUCCGGGAAUCGGGGACAGACGGUCACCAUCUCCUGUGCUGGAACCAGCAGUGACAUAGGGAAAUAUGACGCUGUUGGCUGGUACCAACUGCGCCCAGGCACGGCCUCCAAAACCCAGAUUUAUUAG